AUGCAUGUUGCACCCUGGGCUUCUCUGAACAAUAAAAGUUGACGAUGUUAAGUCCCAAUGCUCGUGCUAUAUACAAUUUGCCCUUCGUGUUGCAGUUCGGCUGACUCUAAACGGCUGAUUUGUGUCUUAAUUAAUGGCUAAAUCC
This is a non-coding RNA of Spinacia oleracea (spinach), 145 nucleotides long. The record is from Rfam. Lineage: Eukaryota; Viridiplantae; Streptophyta; Magnoliopsida; Caryophyllales; Amaranthaceae.